Molecule: long non-coding RNA, 531 nt
Organism: Rosa rugosa (rugosa rose)
Lineage: Eukaryota; Viridiplantae; Streptophyta; Magnoliopsida; Rosales; Rosaceae
Exons: 3
Source: RefSeq, a predicted model, not a curated record
CGGCCACCAAAACUUCCGAUCCUUGGCUCCAUGAACUCCCCUCAACCUGCUGAUCAUCAUACUAGGAGGAUUGCACCUAGAGUGACCGGUUUCACGUUCGUCGGAGCUCGUGAGUUCUCCUUGAUGUUCUUAACAACUCUCUAGAAGGGAUCGAAGCCUGAAAUUGAAGUUUUGACGUCGAAAUCAAGCCUUGCCGGAUUCUGCAAAUUUCGCCGGAUUCUGGAAAUUUUCCGGCCACCUCGACUGUUUUAGGUGAUUGACGGAUCGAUUUGGCGGACAAUUUGUGAAAUUGUUGUUGAGCUGUUAAGAAGAUGCAGCUGGAUUAGAGGUGAGUAAAAUCGCACAUGGUUCCUUCAUGAACCGAAAUUUAGUGAUUUAUAUUGAAUUAUAAAGGUGUGGAAAAUUGUUUUAAGAAAAUAAAGAUUUGUUUUGAAAUAAUAUGAACUUGAUCGACUACGGUUCAUAGGGCUACUACUCACAGGUAAGGAAAAUGAAUUUAAGUAUAAAAAUGAAUUUCUUGUUUUUAUUGCA